UACGGGGGGAGCAAGCGUUGUUCGGAUUUACUGGGCGUAAAGGGCGCGUAGGCGGUAGCACAAGUCAGUUGUGAAAUCUCCGGGCUUAACUCGGAAAGGUCAACUGAUACUGUGCGACUAGAGUGCAGAAGGGGCAACUGGAAUUCUCGGUGUAGCGGUGAAAUGCGUAGAUAUCGAGAGGAACACCUGCGGCGAAGGCGGGUUGCUGGGCUGACACUGACGCUGAGGCGCGAAAGCCAGGGGAGCGAAUGGG
RNAcentral lists this ribosomal RNA (253 nucleotides) under uncultured bacterium. RNAcentral's name for it is "partial 16S ribosomal RNA". It matches the Rfam family "Bacterial small subunit ribosomal RNA", at positions 524 to 776 of the family's 1533-position model. The record is from RNAcentral.